This 820-nucleotide ribosomal RNA is filed under the name uncultured bacterium. RNAcentral describes it as "bacterial SSU rRNA". It matches the Rfam family "Bacterial small subunit ribosomal RNA", at positions 32 to 830 of the family's 1533-position model. The record is from RNAcentral.
AACGCCUGGCGGCGUGCUUUAAUACAUGCAAGUCGAACGAGAGAACUUCUAAGCUUGCUUAGGAGCUAUCUAGUGGCGAACGGGUGAGUAAUACGUAGGCAACCUGCCCCAUAGCGGGGGAUAGCAGUUGGAAACGACUAUUAAUACCGCAUAGGUAAUAGGAAGGCAUCUUCUUAUUAUUAAAGAUGCGUUUGCAUCACUGUGGGAUGGGCUUACGCUGUAUUAGCUUGUUGGUGAGGUAACGGCUCACCAAGGCGAUGAUACAUAGCCGGUCUGAGAGGAUGAACGGCCACAUUGGGACUGAGACACGGCCCAGACUCCUACGGGAGGCAGCAGUAAGGAAUUUUCGGCAAUGGGCGAAAGCCUGGCCGAGCAACGCCGCGUGAGUGAUGAAGGUCUUCGGAUUGUAAAGCUCUGUGGUAAAGGAAGAACACCAUGUCUAGGAAAUGAUUCAUGGCUGACGGUACUUUACUAGAAAGUCACGGCUUACUACGUGCCAGCAGCCGCGGUAAUACGUAGGUGGCAAGCGUUAUCCGGAUUUAUUGGGCGUAAAGGGUGCGCAGGCGGUUUGUUUGGCCCGGGGUGAAAGCGUUGAGCUCAACUCAAUAUAGCCUCGGAUACCGGCAGACUAGAGUGCAGCAAGAGGGUUAUGGAAUUCCAUGUGUAGCGGUAAAAUGCGUAGAUAUAUGGAGGAACAUCUGGUGGCGAAGGCGGUAACCUGGUCUGCAUCUGACGCUCAGGCACGAAAGCGUGGGGAGCAAAUAUGAUUAGAUACCCUAGUAGUCCACGCCCUAAACGAUGAUUACUAAAUGUUGGGGAA